Octopus sinensis (East Asian common octopus) is the source of this 1482-nucleotide long non-coding RNA. RefSeq lists it as uncharacterized. Lineage: Eukaryota; Metazoa; Mollusca; Cephalopoda; Octopoda; Octopodidae. The record is from RefSeq and is a predicted model, not a curated record. The transcript has 2 exons.
GUUGAUAAAAUAAGUACCAGUCAAGCACUGGGGUUGAUGGACUCAACUAGCCCCCUCCCUCAAAAUUUCCAGGCUUUGUGCCUGUAGUAGAAAGGAUUGUUAUUAUUAUUUACUGUUCUUCUAGAAAGCUUGACUACUGUAGCUUGUGAAAUCUCCCCACCUCCUUUGUGCCUUUAUAUUUGGUGUGGUUUUCCAGCUUGGUACCUCCCACCAACCACAUAGACAGCAAACCUAUAUAAAAAGCCGCAGUAUAUCCAAUAUAUAUAAUAUUAGGCAUACCAAUCAUGUCUAACAUGUAUGUGCGUGUGUUGUUGUUUUCUUGUGUUUUUUCCUUUUUUAAUAGUUCUCUGUGUUGUCUUCACUACAAAUGUCGAGGGCAACAAAUUGGCAGAAUCAUUAGAAUGCCAGGCAAAUUGCUUUGUGAUGCUUAUUCUGGUUCUUUAUGUUCUGAGUUCGAAUCUCACCAAGCCAUCUUUUGAAACCAACUUGUCUGAAACUGCCCAUGGUUCUACAAUUUAAAUUAAAACCUUCCUUCUAAAUUUGAUGUCAAUUUAUAUUCCAGACACCUGCUUAACGAUGGUUAUCUAAAUAAAUUAUUUUCAAAAUAAAUUGAAACAAAGGUAGUGUAAUUCAGCAGAAAUAUUGUAACAAAAAGGUUAAACCCUUUCAGAUUAGUAUUUUGGAGGAAAUAAAGUACCGGUCAGUGUCAUUAACUAGUCUUCCCCACUUCAAAAUUUCUGGCUUUGCAUCUAAUCUAAAUACAUUUGUCUUAGUUCACUCAGCUCUAUCAAGAAAAUCUAUAAUAUGAAAGUGACUCAGUGAGUUCUGAAGACCUAUUCCUAGGUUUCACACACUAGAUAUACUAUAUUUUAUGUUAUGGCAGUAGUUUUCUUGUUAGAUACAGUGUAGCAGAUGUGGUAUAUCUACCCAACUGAAGGACAACCUCAGUGUUUAACCCUUUCAUUACUGGUUAAAAUUCACCAGAGACAGUUGGUAAUCUUACACAUGAUUCAAUCCUAAUGAUGGGUUGCCAGCCAUAUCACAACAUUGUUAAUUGUUAACAAUUAAAAUAAUUUAAAAAGUUUCAUGACUGGUCAUCUGUUGUAUCAUUAGUUUCCUUUGUAAUACUAAAUAUUGAUAUUCUUCCUCAUCGUUUCAUGGCUUUAUGUUAAUUUUCAAUACUGGGAAUCAGUUCUUAUUCAGACUUACUGCCCUCAUGGAUGGAUUGGGGGACCACAUCUCUCUCUCUCUCUCUCUCUCUCUCUCAGAUGUCCAAAUUUGGCUAUGAGUUCCACAACUAGAUGCCCUUCCUAACACCAACUACUUUACAAAGUGUACUGGUGCAUUUUAUCAUGGAACUUCAACUUGGCAAGACUAAGGAGUCAUCUUAGCCUGACAUUGUCCCAGCUCAAUUCAUCCUUCCUGCUUCUCCUUUACGAAGUUAACUGGCUGUCUUCAUUUAUUUUAUCUGUAUUUUUCCCC